RNAcentral lists this ribosomal RNA (506 nucleotides) under uncultured bacterium. RNAcentral describes it as "bacterial SSU rRNA". It matches the Rfam family "Bacterial small subunit ribosomal RNA", at positions 16 to 518 of the family's 1533-position model. The record is from RNAcentral.
UUCUGGCGUCAGGAUGAACGCUGGCGGCGUGCUUAACACAUGCAAGUCGAACGGGGAAACAAUGAAAGAAGUUUCGGAUGGAAUUUAUGUUUCUAGUGGCGGACGGGUGAGUAACGCGUAAACAAUCUGCCUUAGAGAGGGGGAUAACAGAUAGAAAUAUUUGCUAAUACCGCAUAAGACCACAGGUAGGCAUCUACUAGGGGUAAAAGGAGCAAUCCGCUUUAAGAUGAGUUUGCGUACUAUUAGCUAGUUGGUGAGGUAACGGCCCACCAAGGCGACGAUGGUUAGCCGGCCUGAGAGGGUGAACGGCCACAUUGGAACUGAGAUACGGUCCAGACUCCUACGGGAGGCAGCAGUGAGGAAUAUUGGGCAAUGGGCGAAAGCCCUGACCCAGCAACGCCGCGUGAAGGAAGAAGGUUUUAGGAUUGUAAACUUCUGUUGUAAGGGAAAAAGAGAGUGAUGGUACCUUACGAGGAAGCUACGGCAAACUAUGUGCCAGCCGCUGC